This 460-nucleotide ribosomal RNA is filed under the name uncultured bacterium. RNAcentral's name for it is "partial 16S ribosomal RNA". It matches the Rfam family "Bacterial small subunit ribosomal RNA", at positions 338 to 795 of the family's 1533-position model. The record is from RNAcentral.
CCUACGGGAGGCUGCAGUGAGGAAUAUUGGUCAAUGGUCGGGAGCCUGAACCAGCCAAGCCGCGUGAGGGAUGAAGGUACAGAGUAUCGUAAACCUCUUUUGUCAGGGAACAAAGGCGGGGACGUGUCCUCGGUUGAGUGUACCUGAAGAAAAAGCAUCGGCUAACUCCGUACCAGCAGCCGCGGUAAUACGGAGGUUGCGAGCGUUAUCCGGAUUUAAUGGGGGUAAAGGGUGCGCAGGGGGGCCGUGAAGUCCGCGGUCAAAGCCCGGGGCUCAAACCCGGCCCCGCCGUUGAACCUGGCAGUCUCGAGUGGGAGAGAAGUAUGCGGAAUGCGCGGUGUAGCGGUGAAAUGCAUAGAUAUCGCGCAGAACGCCGAUGGCGAAGGCAGCAGGCCGGCUCCACACUGACGCUGAGGCACGAAAGCGUGGGUAUCGAACAGGAUUAGAUACCCCGGUAGUC